GGGGAAUUUUGGACAAUGGGGGCAACCCUGAUCCAGCCAUGCCGCGUGAGUGAAGAAGGCCUUCGGGUUGUAAAGCUCUUUCGGACGGAAAGAAAUCGCGCGGGUGAAUAAUCCGCGUGGAUGACGGUACCGUAAGAAGAAGCACCGGCUAACUACGUGCCAGCAGCCGCGGUAAUACGUAGGGUGCGAGCGUUAAUCGGAAUUACUGGGCGUAAAGCGUGCGUAGGCGGCGCUGUAAGACAGGUGUGAAAUCCCCGGGCUUAACCUGGGAAUUGCGCUUGUGACUGCAGUGCUCGAGUGCGGCAGAGGGGGGUGGAAUUCCACGUGUAGCAGUGAAAUGCGUAGAGAUGUGGAGGAACACCGAUGGCGAAGGCAGCCCCCUGGGUCGACACUGACGCUCAUGCACGAAAGCGUGGGGAGCAAAC
Molecule: ribosomal RNA, 425 nt
Filed under: uncultured bacterium
Lineage: Bacteria
Description: bacterial SSU rRNA
Rfam family: Bacterial small subunit ribosomal RNA
Source: RNAcentral